RNAcentral lists this small nuclear RNA (103 nucleotides) under Neotoma lepida (desert woodrat). Lineage: Eukaryota; Metazoa; Chordata; Mammalia; Rodentia; Cricetidae. The record is from RNAcentral.
CUGUUUUGACAGCAUGUGUACUAAAAUUGGAACAACUCAGAGAAAGUUAGCACGCCUCCAGUGUAAGGAUGACAUGGAAGUUCAUGGAGUAUUCCACGGCUUU